RNAcentral lists this ribosomal RNA (253 nucleotides) under uncultured bacterium. RNAcentral describes it as "partial 16S ribosomal RNA". It matches the Rfam family "Bacterial small subunit ribosomal RNA", at positions 524 to 776 of the family's 1533-position model. The record is from RNAcentral.
GACGGAGGGUGCGAGCGUUAUUCGGAAUUAUUGGGCGUAAAGAGCGUGUAGGCGGCCGGCCAAGUCAGAUGUGAAAGCCCAGGGCUUAACCCUGGAAGUGCAUUUGAAACUGGUUGGCUUGAGUUCGGGAGAGGGAAGUGGAAUUCCGGGUGUAGAGGUGAAAUUCGUAGAUAUCCGGAGGAACACCGGUGGCGAAGGCGACUUCCUGGACCGAAACUGACGCUGAGACGCGAAAGCGUGGGGAGCAAACAGG